CAGCAAAACCUCAUUAAUUCAUAACUCAAAAUAUGCUUGACUCAAUUACUUAUUCACCUUACAAAUGCUUCAAUAAUGAUAAAAUAGCAAACACAUAACACAUGGUAAGACUAAAUAAAUACAAAAUCUAAUAAUACAAAAUAGAUUGCAAUGAAACAUUGUACUAUCAAACGUCCUCAUUUUCAAUUUCAACAUGUCAUUUGAGGUCUAAAGCGUACCUGAAUACAACAAAAUAACAAAGGAAAUAAGCUUGGAGCUUAAGAAGAAAUAGCAGCAAUAAUUCAGCUAAAGACGAAGUAACAACAGUAACUUAAGCAAAACCAAACAGCAACAAAAUCAGCAGAUCAGCCUCAAACUCUUGAACUAACUCCAAACAUUUGAACCCAGAUUCACCAUUCUAUUGAACUUUUAGAAAUUCUGAAUUAUCAAAGGGAAUUAGAACCCAAAAACCAAGCAAAAUUCAAGCAAUUCUCAGUACUUUGAACUUGAAAGAAAACUCAGCCGUUUUUAAAGUUUCAGUGCUUUUUCCUCUCUCCUCCUCUGGCUUGAUUAAGAAAUAACACCCUUUUAUAGAGAAACUCUAGGGCAGCAGAAAUGAUUUUAGUUUUUUGCCCAUUACUCCUUUUCGAAUUUUUGUUUUUGCUAGUGAAUCCUUAAUUUUAAAAUCUGUUUGCUAGGUCAGUCCCUAACCCACCUUCCUAGAAAUUUUCUAAGUCAGUUACUGAAGAUUCCCCAUGAUUAAAUUCCUAAACUAACCUUUCAGACCCUUGUAAAUUACCAUCAAACCAACCUAGGUCAAGUUGACCCAAGACAAACCAGACAUGGACUUUCAAAAACCUGGACCAACCCCUCCUUUUGGGCCUCUGUCUGACAGAGCUAAAUUCAAGUCAACAUCAAAACUCACGAAAUUAAAGGGCUAAACAGAGUUGCCCAAAAAGCAGAAGACUUUGAAAAUGAAACCAAAAACAAAAAAGGAGAAAGGAGCUAAUUAAAACUAAACGUAAAAACCAAAACAAACACAACUAAAACUUGCUCUUAAUCUAAUUACAACAAACACUAAUUAAAAAAUGAAAAAGUAAUAAAUGAAAAGAACGGAGGAGACAGAAAGAGAUGGAGAUGGAAGAAGAAUAAAAGAAACGGAAAGAACAAAAGAAAGAGAGUACCUACAGAAGACCGAAAAUGGUCAUGGAUUGAAAGAACUCGGAUGUUUCGAUUUUGAGCCGAACUUGGCAUCAAUCAUGUGUUCUUGUCAAGAACAGACAAGCAAGGCCAGUUUCGACUCCUAAUCUCUUGUCAAAACUAAGAAAUUUGAGGGAUUUCUUGUUUUCCUCUUUUGCCUUUUCAGAUCCAAAAACGGCUCAGUUUGGUGAUGAUUUUGGGGAUAUUAGUAAUGGAUUAGGGGUCAGGGGUGAGCGGGGGUCUUGGGGUGUGAAUUUAGUGGUGGUUCAAGGUGGCGCCACCGGCUGGAGAUGGUGGAGAAUUUAGGGCGGCGCUAGGGUUCAUGGAGAAGAUGAGAGAACUGAAAAGGGGUGUUUGGAACUAACGUUGUCUUUGGGGGGGGUUUGGACAUUUUUAUGUAAUUGUG
This 1585-nucleotide long non-coding RNA is filed under the name Nicotiana tabacum (common tobacco). RNAcentral's name for it is "long non-coding RNA (NTAB_LNC007494)". The record is from RNAcentral. Lineage: Eukaryota; Viridiplantae; Streptophyta; Magnoliopsida; Solanales; Solanaceae.